CCUACGGGAGGCAGCAGUGAGGAAUAUUGGUCAAUGGGCGCGAGCCUGAACCAGCCAAGUCGCGUGAGGGAGGACGGCCCUACGGGUUGUAAACCUCUUUUGCCGGGGAGCAACGGGCGCCACGUGUGGCGUCACUGAGAGUACCCGGAGACAAAGCAUCGGCUAACUCCGUGCCAGCAGCCGCGGGAAUACGGAGGAUGCGAGCGUUAUCCGGAUUUUUGGGGUUUAAAGGGUGCGUAGGCGGAUCGUUAAGUCAGUGGUCAAAUGGAGGGGCUCAACCCCUUCCCGCCAUUGAAACUGGCGUUCUUGAGUGGAAGAGAAGUAUGCGGAAUGCGUGGUGUAGCGGUGAAAUGCAUAGAUAUCGCGCAGAACUCCGAUUGCGAAGGCAGCAUACCGGCGCGCAACUGACGCUCAUGCACGAAAGCGUGGGUAUCGAACAGGAUUAGAUACCCUUGUAGUC
This 460-nucleotide ribosomal RNA is filed under the name uncultured bacterium. RNAcentral's name for it is "partial 16S ribosomal RNA". It matches the Rfam family "Bacterial small subunit ribosomal RNA", at positions 338 to 795 of the family's 1533-position model. The record is from RNAcentral.